This 253-nucleotide ribosomal RNA is filed under the name uncultured bacterium. Its description in RNAcentral is "partial 16S ribosomal RNA". It matches the Rfam family "Bacterial small subunit ribosomal RNA", at positions 524 to 776 of the family's 1533-position model. The record is from RNAcentral.
UACGUAGGGUGCGAGCGUUGUCCGGAAUUAUUGGGCGUAAAGAGCUUGUAGGCGGUCUGUCGCGUCUGCUGUGAAAAUCCGGGGCUCAACCCCGGACUUGCAGUGGGUACGGGCAGACUAGAGUGUGGUAGGGGAGACUGGAAUUCCUGGUGUAGCGGUGAAAUGCGCAGAUAUCAGGAGGAACACCAAUGGCGAAGGCAGCUCGCUGGGACGGUACUGACGCUAAGGCGCGAAAGCGUGGGGAGCAAACAGG